Molecule: ribosomal RNA, 67 nt
Filed under: Babesia rodhaini
Lineage: Eukaryota; Apicomplexa; Aconoidasida; Piroplasmida; Babesiidae
Description: partial large subunit ribosomal RNA LSU5
Source: RNAcentral
AGAAUAUACUGUAGUAAAGGAACUUGACAAGUAUUUUAUUAUACUCUACCUAAUGCAUUUAAUACUU